UACAGAGGGGGCAAGCGUUAUUCGGAAUUAUUGGGCGUAAAGGGCGCGUAGGCGGCUUGGCAAGUGGAAGGUGAAAUCCCUCGGCUUAACCGAGGAACUGCCCUCCAAACUGCUUCGCUUGAGGCCGGGAGAGGUGAGUGGAAUUCCCAGUGUAGCGGUGAAAUGCGUAGAUAUUGGGAGGAACACCAGUGGCGAAGGCGGCUCACUGGACCGGUACUGACGCUGAUGCGCGAAAGCGUGGGGAGCAAACGGG
This 253-nucleotide ribosomal RNA is filed under the name uncultured bacterium. RNAcentral describes it as "partial 16S ribosomal RNA". It matches the Rfam family "Bacterial small subunit ribosomal RNA", at positions 524 to 776 of the family's 1533-position model. The record is from RNAcentral.